CUGAGGUAAAGGAUAAGAUUACAGACAGAGAAGAUUCAGGAAAAGAAAAUUCUCUCCCUUGGAUGCCUUUUAACCUAAAGGAUACAGACAAAGAGGAACAUAUGAAACCCAACACCAAAGAAGGAAGGAAACGGUGAUAGCUGAUUUUAUAUUUUAUUAAUGUGGUUAUUAGGUAUACGCACUGUAGCAUUGCCUCAAAUUACCUAUCAAGUCCUGUCUAUGUUACAGUUUGUACAAUCUGAUCUUGAUUAAAGGCAAGAUGCUGUACAAGUAUAUACAAAACUCUGUCUUUUCACUACAAUGUUUCAAAUUUUUGUUCUAAUAAAUCCCUCUGAAUUUCUUCUAUUUUUGUUGUUGUUGUUGUUUUUCUAUCUUGUCCAAGUGGAUCACUAAUUUAAAUAUUUCCCAUAAAAUUCACAGCUAAGUGGGCUGGAGAAAAAUAAUAAAGAGUUG
This 453-nucleotide long non-coding RNA is filed under the name Gallus gallus (chicken). The record is from RNAcentral. Lineage: Eukaryota; Metazoa; Chordata; Aves; Galliformes; Phasianidae.